UUAAAUAUACCGCUGAUUUAUCAAACCGAAGUCAAGUUUUAUUUUACAACAAUGCAAUUAAGGUAUACAACCAUGUUUAAUUGACACAAUUUUACAACUUCCAUAUUGAUGUAUGUAUCGUUAAGCCACUGGUGUGUUCAGAAAUGUUUAGGGUGACCCAGUUAUCAGAAAUAAAGGCUAAAUAGCUUGAUUAUGUAUGAUCAUGUCUCUGACAGUAUACGUAUAUGCCUCGCUACGACAACGCUUUAGCGUGUAUGCGUUUCUCACAGAGGACGUAUUGGUUAUCUCUCAAAGGCGAAAUAAAGAAAAUGUUUUUUCUAAAUACAGUCAUGGAGUGCCUGGAUGUUUCCUUUGAGGAAGAGAUCGUAACAACGACACAACAUGAUCCGAAGCGCACAGUCGACAUGGUUAUUGUUUACUGCGUACAUGAAUGCCGGUAAAUUUACCUCUUGGUACAAUGCGGUUAAUGUCCGGUCUCACUAUGAUGCCGGCGGAGCCCCGGUGCGUUAUCAGGCAACUACCGGGACCCUACCGGGAUGAACCGGUGCUCCACCGGGAUGAACCGUGGACAACCGGGGCUCCACCGAAUCAGAGUACAGUAUAGUUUCUUCAAGCUGUCCGGAUAUUGUGUCUACAUUGUCCGAAGGUACCACUGGCUCGAGAAAUAUCUGACAAUGGGCAGAUUUUGUUGGUGUGUUAAUUCGUGAUAUCUUUCGCACAGGACUUUCUGUCACUGUAGAUUUUGUCGGAAUUAAAAAUUUGCCAUAAA
Long non-coding RNA from Dreissena polymorpha, 769 nucleotides. RefSeq lists it as uncharacterized. The record is from RefSeq and is a predicted model, not a curated record. Lineage: Eukaryota; Metazoa; Mollusca; Bivalvia; Myida; Dreissenidae. The transcript has 3 exons.